UAAGGAAAUAUGAGGCACACUUGGUUUUUGUUUAGUUUUGAGAGAUCAUUCUGAUCUUUCAUUAAAUAUGUUAGAUAAUAGACAUAGGAGUAAAAAUGCACCUAGCAUUUUAUUAUCCUGUGCUUUAUGUUCCUUGAAAACUAGAUAACGAUAACAAUUCAAGUAAUUCACUGAGUUUAAAUGCUUAGUUUAGUGAUUUUCUUAAUAAUUGAUUUAAAUGACAUUUUUAAUGUCAAA
Molecule: unclassified non-coding RNA, 237 nt
Filed under: uncultured bacterium
Lineage: Bacteria
Description: 16S-23S ribosomal RNA intergenic spacer
Source: RNAcentral